Molecule: ribosomal RNA, 117 nt
Filed under: Bacillota bacterium
Lineage: Bacteria; Bacillati; Bacillota
Source: RNAcentral
UCCGGUGGCAAUAGCGGAGGGGAAACACCUGUUCCCAUUCCGAACACAGAAGUUAAGCCCUCCAGCGCCGAUGGUACUGCACUGGCAACGGUGCGGGAGAGUAGGUCGCUGCCGGAA